Molecule: ribosomal RNA, 373 nt
Filed under: Nematoda sp.
Lineage: Eukaryota; Metazoa; Nematoda
Description: SSU rRNA
Rfam family: Eukaryotic small subunit ribosomal RNA
Source: RNAcentral
CUGAAUAUCUUCGCUGAUCGCACGGUCUCGUACCGGCGACGCAUCUUUCAAGUGUCUGCCUUAUCAACUUUCGAUGGUAGUUUAUAUGACUACCAUGGUUGUAACGGGUAACGGAGAAUAAGGGUUCGACUCCGGAGAGGGAGCCUGAGAAACGGCUACCACAUCCAAGGAAGGCAGCAGGCGCGCAAAUUACCCACUCUCAGCACGAGGAGGUAGUGACGAAAAAUAACGAGUCGGUUCUCUAUGAGGCCCGAUAUCGGAAUGGGUACAAUUUAAACCCUUUAACGAGGACCUAUGAGAGGGCAAGUCUGGUGCCAGCAGCCGCGGUAAUUCCAGCUCUCAAGGUGUAUAUCGCCAUUGCUGCGGUUAAAAA